GCUGGUAAUAAGUCUGGAUGCAAGUUGAUCAAAUUUGAUUGGAUUUCAAUCUAAUCGAUUGAGAUCCAAUCGAGCUAACUCAAGUUCAACAAUUAUAAUCUUUUCUAAUUGGCGAUCGAAUUAAACUAUUUAAUUCGAUCAAAAAUCUAUAAAUCAAGAUUGAUAUCUAGUAAUAUAUCAUAACUAUCCAGAAGAUAUAAAAUUUUGAUAAAAAUAUCAAAUAUAUCCUUCAG
RNAcentral lists this long non-coding RNA (233 nucleotides) under Elaeis guineensis (African oil palm). Its description in RNAcentral is "long non-coding RNA (EGUI_LNC079598)". Lineage: Eukaryota; Viridiplantae; Streptophyta; Magnoliopsida; Arecales; Arecaceae. The record is from RNAcentral.